ANNGNNGGGNGGCGUGCUAUACAUGCAGUCGAGCGAACGGACGAGAGUGCUUGCACUCUCUGAUGUUAGCGGCGGACGGGUGAGUAACACGUGGGUAACCUACCUAUAAGACUGGGAUAACUUCGGGAAACCGGAGCUAAUACCGGAUAAUAUUUAGCUUCGCAUGAAGCAAUAGUGAAAGACGGUUCUGCUGUCACUUAUAGAUGGACCCGCGGUGUAUUAGCUAGUUGGUGAGGUAACGGCUCACCAAGGCAACGAUACAUAGCCGACCUGAGAGGGUGAUCGGCCACACUGGGACUGAGACACGGCCCAGACUCCUACGGGAGGCAGCAGUAGGGAAUCUUCCGCAAUGGACGAAAGUCUGACGGAGCAACGCCGCGUGAGUGAAGAAGGUUUUCGGAUCGUAAAACUCUGUUGUAAGGGAAGAACAAGUACGUUAGUAACUGAACGUACCUUGACGGUACCUUACCAGAAAGCCACGGCUAACUACGUGCCAGCAGCCGCGGUAAUACGUAGGUGGCAAGCGUUAUCCGGAAUUAUUGGGCGUAAAGCGCGCGUAGGCGGUCUCUUAAGUCUGAUGUGAAAGCCCCCGGCUCAACCGGGGAGGGUCAUUGGAAACUGGGAGACUUGAGUGCAGAAGAGGAGAGUGGAAUUCCAUGUGUAGCGGUGAAAUGCGCAGAGAUAUGGAGGAACACCAGUGGCGAAGGCGGCUCUCUGGUCUGUAACUGACGCUGAGGUGCGAAAGCGUGGGGAUCAAACAGGAUUAGAUACCCUGGUAGUCCACGCCGUAAACGAUGAGUGCUAAGUGUUGGGGGGUUUCCGCCCCUCAGUGCUGCAGCUAACGCAUUAAGCACUCCGCCUGGGGAGUACGGUCGCAAGACUGAAACUCAAAGGAAUUGACGGGACCCGCACAAGCGGUGGAGCAUGUGGUUUAAUUCGAAGCACGCGG
This 949-nucleotide ribosomal RNA is filed under the name Micrococcus sp. 82MP. Its description in RNAcentral is "bacterial SSU rRNA". It matches the Rfam family "Bacterial small subunit ribosomal RNA", at positions 32 to 964 of the family's 1533-position model. Lineage: Bacteria; Bacillati; Actinomycetota; Actinomycetes; Micrococcales; Micrococcaceae. The record is from RNAcentral.